Molecule: ribosomal RNA, 274 nt
Filed under: uncultured bacterium
Lineage: Bacteria
Description: partial 16S ribosomal RNA
Rfam family: Bacterial small subunit ribosomal RNA
Source: RNAcentral
AUACGGAGGGUGCAAGCGUUACUCGGAAUCACUGGGCGUGAAGGACGCGUAGGCGGGAAGCCAAGUCUGAUGUGAAAUCCUAUGGCUCAACCAUAGAACUGCAUUGGAAACUGGUAACCUAGAGUAUGGGAGGGGGAGAUGGAAUUAGUGGUGUAGGGGUAAAAUCCGUAGAUAUCACUAGGAAUACCUAAAGCGAAGGCGAUCUCCUGGAACAAUACUGACGCUAAGGCGUGAAAGCGUGGGGAGCAAACGGGAUUAGAUACCCGAGUAGUCC